RNAcentral lists this transfer RNA (67 nucleotides) under Isara chinensis. RNAcentral's name for it is "tRNA-Thr". It matches the Rfam family "tRNA". From Rfam's summary of the family: Transfer RNA (tRNA) molecules are approximately 80 nucleotides in length. Their secondary structure includes four short double-helical elements and three loops (D, anti-codon, and T loops). Further hydrogen bonds mediate the characteristic L-shaped molecular structure. tRNAs have two regions of fundamental functional importance: the anti-codon, which is responsible for specific mRNA codon recognition, and the 3' end, to which the tRNAs corresponding amino acid is attached (by aminoacyl-tRNA synthetases). tRNAs cope with the degeneracy of the genetic code in two manners: having more than one tRNA (with a specific anti-codon) for a particular amino acid; and 'wobble' base-pairing, i.e. permitting non-standard base-pairing at the 3rd anti-codon position. The record is from RNAcentral. Lineage: Eukaryota; Metazoa; Mollusca; Gastropoda; Neogastropoda; Mitridae.
GCAAUAAUAGCUUAUUUAAGAGCAUCGGUCUUGUAAGCCGAAGGUGGAUUAUGUAAUUCUUAUUGUA